UACGUGGGGUGCGAGCGUUAAUCGGAAUUACUGGGCGUAAAGCGUGCGCAGGCGGUGAUGUAAGACAGAUGUGAAAUCCCCGGGCUCAACCUGGGAACUGCAUUUGUGACUGCAUCGCUAGAGUACGGUAGAGGGGGAUGGAAUUCCGCGUGUAGCAGUGAAAUGCGUAGAUAUGCGGAGGAACACCGAUGGCGAAGGCAAUCCCCUGGACCUGUACUGACGCUCAUGCACGAAAGCGUGGGGAGCAAACAGG
This 253-nucleotide ribosomal RNA is filed under the name uncultured bacterium. RNAcentral's name for it is "partial 16S ribosomal RNA". It matches the Rfam family "Bacterial small subunit ribosomal RNA", at positions 524 to 776 of the family's 1533-position model. The record is from RNAcentral.